Molecule: ribosomal RNA, 220 nt
Filed under: uncultured bacterium
Lineage: Bacteria
Description: partial 16S ribosomal RNA
Rfam family: Bacterial small subunit ribosomal RNA
Source: RNAcentral
UAAUGUAUGGGGGACUGCCUGAUGGAGGGGGAUAACUACUGGAAACGGUAGCUAAUACCGCAUAACGUCGCAAGACCAAAGAGGGGGACCUUAGGGCCUCUUGCCAUCGGAUGUGCCCAGAUGGGAUUAGCUAGUAGGUGGGGUAAUGGCUCACCUAGGCGACGAUCCCUAGCUGGUCUGAGAGGAUGACCAGCCACACUGGAACUGAGACACGGUCCAG